UGAAAAAUGAAAAAUUGAAAAAAACUUCAUGAGCACUAAAAUUUAACGCGAUAAAAUUUGCUAUUCAAGUGUUGAUUCGAUUAUGCGAUUCAUCAUGUUGAGAAUUAUUCCCACUUUUUAUUCCUUCCUGAUUUUAUUCUAGUGACUGGCGAUGAUUUAUUCAAUUAGAAACACCAGUACCAGUUGGAAUUAUCUUAUUACGGGUAGUAUUUAUUUAUGAAACUGAAUAUAUGAUGAUCUCUUAUUAUUCUGGCUUGUUGUACUUUGUGUGAAAAAUACUUUCAGGUUAGAUAGAAAAACUGAUGAACGAAGAACGAAUAAGACAUGAAACUGUCAAUAGUGCAGUUUACUUCAAUUUGUGAUUAUACGUACAUGCAUAUCUCCGGAGAUGAAAAAUGAACGAGGCUAACGCUAGAUGACGCAUCGGACGAGUAUUGAUGGUGUUUCAUAUUAUUUUCAAUCGGGAUGAGAAGAACUGAACUUUUUGGUCGAACUAGGUACUAGCUUUUCGAACACACAUUCAUACAUGACACAUGUAUAAAAUAAUCUUUGUAGACGAUGAAAAAUAAACAAGGCCAACGGUAGAUGGUGAAUCGGA
Molecule: long non-coding RNA, 598 nt
Organism: Planococcus citri (citrus mealybug)
Lineage: Eukaryota; Metazoa; Arthropoda; Insecta; Hemiptera; Pseudococcidae
Exons: 2
Source: RefSeq, a predicted model, not a curated record